RNAcentral lists this ribosomal RNA (382 nucleotides) under Pistia environmental sample. RNAcentral's name for it is "SSU rRNA". It matches the Rfam family "Eukaryotic small subunit ribosomal RNA", at positions 585 to 972 of the family's 1831-position model. Lineage: Eukaryota; Viridiplantae; Streptophyta; Magnoliopsida; Alismatales; Araceae. The record is from RNAcentral.
CCAGCUCCAACAGCGUAUAUUUAAGUUGUUGCAGUUAAAAAGCUCGUAGUCGGACCUUGGGCUGGGGCGGGCGGUCCGCCUCUGGGUGUGUACCGGCCGUCUCGUCCCUACUGCCGGCGACUCGUUCCUGGCCUUAGCUGGCCGGGUCGUGCCACCGGCGCCGUUACUUUGAAGAAAUUAGAGUGCUCAAAGCAAGCCCACGCUCUGCAUACAUUAGCAUGGGAUAACAUCACAGGAUCUCGGUCCUAUUGUGUUGGCCUUCGGGAUCGGGGUAAUGAUUAAGAGGGACAGUCGGGGGCAUUCGUAUUCCAUAGUCAGAGGUGAAAUUCUUGGAUUUAUGGAAGACGAACAACUGCGAAAGCAUUUGCCAAGGAUGUUUUCA